CCCUGCGUCGCCGUUUAGUAACAUACGUAUGUACGAGAGGUUCUGUCGUCGUCGCUCGAGCAACACGUCAGGGAAGAGGGAAACAUGGGCCGCAAGAAGCAGUUGAAGGAAGGGACCAGCUCCGACCAAGUCCAGGACCCCAAACGGAAGGCGUCUGUCGACAUCAGCGGCAAUUUUGUGAGCCGUGGAGCCCUUCCACUGAUCCAAGACCUCGCCUCGGAGGAUGGAGCUUCCUGUCCCGUCGGACAAAUUGGAGGACGUACUGAAACUUGGUAUGACAGAAGAUGAGUUGGUGCAGGAGCUAACGAAGCCCCUGACCACAAAAAAGUCAGCGCUGCUGGAGUAGGCAACCGAGCGCGGUCCGUCGAGCCCUAGCCGAAUGCCAACACUGACGCUGUGCUUUUACCCUCACCUGCAAGGGAGAAAAACAGCCCAUGUCACCCGAUGGGCGUCAGGUAUCUCCAUCUUCAAGUGAUCGCACACGCACUCCCACCAGUUUUUGUAUAGAGUAAGUUGACAAAAGCAUAAUUUAACGGAAUCAAUAAGUACCGAACGCACCGUAUUUUGGCGUUUUGGCCCGAACGCCUCCUGAACCGUUUGGUUUCUAGCACAAUUCUUAUAGCGUGGAUAUCAGCCAUGUCAUGUUCUUUUUCGUUCCGUAGAACAACGACUCGUCCCGAACGCCUGUCGCUAUCUUAUCCUCUCCCAGUCCCUUCUCCACCGCUCACUCGCAUCCCACACACUCGCCUCGCGGAGAACUGUCUUGCGCCGGCGACGUCGGGAAGGAGCUAGGGGACGACGGAGACGAGGAGCUGGAAGAACGCCGUCUAGCAGCUCCACCGGACCCAACAUCGGGGGUGUCCCGCGGCGGAGACGAGGCGGGCUGCGCCAUCCUCGAGGCGUUGCGGCUUGCGGCCAUGGGAGAGGAGGCUGAGGAGGCCCCCUGUUUGUGCUCCGACGGAUCCUGGAUGGAGAGCCCGAGCGCUAGCGUGGAGAGGAACCGCCGGUUGUAGCGGUGGCGACGGAGAGGAGGCGUGGACGAAGGAGUUGUGAUGGAGGCGGCCGGGCCUAGGUGCGGCGGGGGCAGGCGGAGAGGAGGCCCGGCGAAGGAGCUGUGAUGGAGAUGGCCGCGCUUAGGUGCGGCGGGGGCGACAGAGAGGAGGCGCGGCGAAGGAGCUGCGCUGGAGAUUGCCGCAUUUAGGUGCGGCGGGUGUCGAGAUGCAGCCGGAGACCUACGCUGCAUGGUGGCACUGCUUCCGUCGGCGCUGGCCACGCACUUCCUGGUGGCCACCACGGAGCUCCACCUUGGCGUUCACGAGUUUGAACUGCGCAAGGACGGGGCGGCUCGCUGGACUAGCCAUGCCAUGUCUACUACCAAUGGCGCCCGAGCCGGCUGUCAACGAAGAAAUGGUGUCCUGAGGUAUGCCAUGUUUCUCAGUUGUUUUCAUACGAACUGUGCAUAGCUCUUGACCACGGAGAUUACAAGUUCGCGCAUCUACUAAGCGUGUGAGAAGCUCAUCUGGGUCUGGUAGAGUGUGGAGUUAAGGGCUUUCGACCAAGUUCAUGUCAAAAUGUUGGCAACACGUUCUAUAUUUCAAUGGCAAAUAUCAGAUGACAAGAUUUAGAAAUUGUUUGCCUUGCAUUUUUGAAAUAUAACCAAUUUGAAUCAAAAUCCAUGGCAAAUUUGCAUAGUUGGGCAGUGAAAUGUAAAGUUAACAAUUCUGGGAUUUUGUACAUUAUGCUAUAUUACAACAAUACAAAACAAAAAAUGUGCCAUCACUUCAGAUUUGUUUUGUAUGUAUAGGUGGGGAGGAAAACAUCCCAUAGCUGAUAUAUCGUUCAUUGACAAAAAUGAUAGUAAAAUGGUUUAUAGUCGUGACAAUUGCUAGACAUUAUUUAGUAUUGGUAUGAUGGCAAGUUAAAAUUUUAUUCUUAUAACAAAUUUUCAAGUUUUGCCACUCUACUGACUGAAAAUCAUUUGUUUUGUAUGAUCUGAACAAAACAGAGAUACAUACUAGUCUUCCAGGACAGAAUGGUAUUUUUUGUGUCCCUAGAUUUUGUUGUAGUGGUGAUAGGCUAUGAGUUUUGAGAAAAAAAUAAAUGAUUUGUGGCUGGAUUGAUCAGGCUGCUAUGUGUGCUGAAUCUGUAGUGGGGAAAGGGAUUUUUAGAGUUCGUGGUCAUCUUCGUUGUACAACAUCAGCGAUAAUUAAACUGAAAAAGGAUAUGGAGUAAUCAAAGCUUGAUUUUCAUUUAGAGAGAAUGAUUCAGGACUAAACAUGUAUGUACGAUACAUUUUUUCUUAAAUUUGCCGUCUCAUUGUACAAUAUUUUUAAAAUUUUCGUGGAAGAUGGGAAAUAUAGUUAUCAAAUGAUGGUAAAUUCAGUUCUCGGAUCAUGAAAAAAUCAUUGCUUUCUUGCCAUGGCAACUUUCGAUAUUGGAUCAUGGCACAAAUUUGCUGUUUUCUACCAUGGCAACUAAUCUUAUACUUUUUGCCAUGUAAACAUCAAAAAAUUAGUUGAUUGAUCAUGGCAAAAUUUAGUUUACGCAUCAUAGCAAACUUGCUUCCUGUAAGAUGGCAAACAUAGUUAUCGAAUCAUGGCAAAUUUAGUUCUCGAAUCAUGGCGAAUUCAUUGCUUUCUUGCCAUGGCAACUUUUGAUUUUUUAAAUUUUCGUGGCAAUUCUUUAAAUUGUCGAAAACAACAAAAAUGGCAAAUAUUGCCAUGGCAAGUUUUACUAAUUAUUUCACCUUCAUUAACAUGACAAAAUUACCUAAAUCCCCAUGGCAAUUUUAACAAUUUAUUGCCAUGGCAAGUUUUACUAUUUAUUUUCCAUGGCAAAUUUACCUUUAUUAACAUGGCAAAUUCACCUAAGUCCCCAUGGCAAUAUUUAACUUUUAUUGCCAUGGCAAGUUUUACUAUUUUUUGGACUUUUAUUAACAUGGCAAAUUUACCUAAAUCGCCAUGGCAAUAUUGAACUUUUAUUGCCAUGGCAAGUUUUACUAUUUUUUGGACUUUUAUUAACAUGGCAAAUUUACCUAAAUCGCCAUGGCAAUAUUGAACUUUUAUUGCCAUGGCAAGUUUUACUAUUUAUUUGCCAUGGAUAAUAUACCUUGGUUCAGGGUGUUGUGUAGUUGAUACUUGCAAAGUUCAUGGCAAUUUUAUCUAUGUCCUUGUUCAUAAACAAUAGCAAAUUUAUACUGUAUAAGGCUCUAUAUGACAAAAUUCAUGUGAUUUGCGGUUGCACCUUUUUAUUUGAAAAACAUGGCAAAUUUAAUAUGGCAAGAUAUGAUUUUCAGAAACAUGGCAAAGUUUAUAGAUGUUCAAAAACAUGGCAAACUUGCCAUGUCAACUUAGUAUGUUCAAAAACAUGGCAAACUUGCCAUGGCAAAUUAAGAUGUUCAAAAAACAUGGCAAGUUAAUAUGUACAAAAACAUGGCAGUUUUUGGGCCUACAAAUAUUGUAAUUUGUUUUUAA
Triticum aestivum (bread wheat) is the source of this 3473-nucleotide long non-coding RNA. RefSeq lists it as uncharacterized. The record is from RefSeq and is a predicted model, not a curated record. Lineage: Eukaryota; Viridiplantae; Streptophyta; Magnoliopsida; Poales; Poaceae. The transcript is spliced from 3 exons.